This 9300-nucleotide unclassified non-coding RNA is filed under the name Leishmania donovani. RNAcentral's name for it is "gene:LdHU3.36.8720(CDS-product:target_of_rapamyci n_(TOR)_kinase_1_putative)". Lineage: Eukaryota; Euglenozoa; Kinetoplastea; Trypanosomatida; Trypanosomatidae. The record is from RNAcentral.
CGGCAUCUUUGUGCCCAGUCGAGGAUAGAGCACGGCUCCCACCCGACCUCUCAAAGCGCGCCUUCCUCUCUGCUCUUACCCCCUCCACACGCCCCUUCAGACGCACGCACACACACACACGCACACACACACACGCACACACACACACACACACACACACACACUUGUGUGCACACGCGCGCCUUAACGUCUGAUUCCGACUGCCGUGAUCGCACCGGUGCGUCCUUCUCUCUCCGCUUUAGCCGUUUUUGGUGUGUGGGUGCGUGUCUCGCAUUUGCAUCUCUUGUAUUUUUUUUUUAUUCGGUGGUAGCGGUGGUGGCUCGUGGCGCUUACCCCAAUUUGAAGUCGGCUUCAUAAGGCGCACCGCGUUGACUUGAAGGACUGAUCAACGUGCGUGGGAGCGGUUAUCUUCACGGCGGCGGCGCUUCCAUCGGCAAUACCAAUUCUGCGCUACUGUUUCACUGCCGGGGCGCUGCUCCGUGGCCCUUUCGUGUCUUGCCGACUCUGAAGAGAAACCCUCUUUGCUGACUCACAAGUGCGCUAGUCAUAGGUGGGAGAACGAUAAACGAGCGGUGUAGCGGAAUGGAGUCUAAAGGUGGCGUAGGCAGUAGCAAUGGCAGCGGCGGCACGAGCAGCAAUCGACACCCGCUGAUUGGUCAGCUGCGUCCCAUCUUUCAAGAGCUGGAGUCGGCCACGCCGCAGACGCUCCCCUCCAUCAUCCUCAAGCUAGAGUACGUGAUCGAGGAGGAGAAGGACGCUUUGUUUCACCGCAACUCCAUCAAGUCCUAUACGGCCAAUGCACGCACAUUCCCCAACUGGCUGAAUGCGCAGCUACGACACCUGUUUGAGCAGCCUCAGACGCACAUGGCGGGCGUGCAGGUGCUACGGGCGCUGCUGCCAGUGGAGUACGUGGAGCUGAAUGAGAUGACGAAGCUCUUUUCGGAGCUGCUGGUGCGCUGCGUACUGGAGACGGCGGACUACAAUACCGCCGUGGAGGGGGGAGAGGUGUGGGGUUUGCUACUCAACAAUGGCAGCAGCGUAGUCGAGGGCAUCAUCAUCAACUGCUUACAGUUUUCGUUAGCACUGCUGAUGCGCGGAGGGCACGAUGAGAUAUUCUUGCGCGAAGACGUGAGCCAUCGCGGCGUCGACAGCGAAGCGACGGUUCGAUCGGCCAUGUCCCCCUUGGUGGACUCUUCGCGGCAGGGCGAGAAUGCUGUCCUCACGGAUGACGAUCGGUUCCCCAAGGCAACGAAGCUGUCGGGGUGCAUCUUCAUUCAACAGCUGGUGCGCCGCGUGCCAUCGACGAUUGCGCCACACGUGCACAACAUUCUUGAGUGCCUGCGCCGCGCCAUCCUCGACUCCAACAAGCUUGUGCGCGUGAGCGGAGGCGAUGCGCUCUUUUACACGUUGACCAUUUCCUAUCGUUCCACCGACCCAAAAUUCUACAGCCGCUGGCAGAACACAUUUCUCGAAGACGCGGAGCGGAGCGUCAUGUACGGCAGCGACGUCGUCCUGCAUGGCUGCCUGCUGGCCUUCAAUGCCGUGCUCUCCGCGACGGCAUCGCGUGAGGCCGAAGGGCGAGCAGUCGGCUUCUCCAACCAAGGGCGAAAGCACAUUCUGCAGUUCUGGACGUUUAUCAACGACAACCUGGUGAGCACCUCGCACAACAGCGACGUGCGCGCCGAGGUGCUCAACGCACUACCGCUGCUGGCUCAGUACGACAGCACUACCUUUAAAGAGAUUUCGGUGAAGCACGUGCGCGCGCUGGCGGCGGCGGUGUUUGUCGGCACGGAGGGCAAGGAUGAGCGGGCAAUGGUGUUUCAGGUGCUCGCGCGGCUUUUCACGGUGUUGCCCAGCCUUGUCGUACCGUUCCUGGACUUUAUGAUGAAGUACAUCGAGGCAUCGCUGACACCGCAACCUCUCCGUGACCGCUGCCCUGAGGCCGUGACAUGCUUCGCCACGCUCUCUAGCGUAGAGCCGAACGCGGUACGCCCCUUCCUACGGCCCCUGCUUGGGCCCCUCUUCGCUGGGUCGGUGACGGAGCACUUUGCGCGCGACGUGGCGAAGAUCUGCACGGCCUUCCCAGAGCUGCGGUCGACGUGCUUGUCGAAGGUUCUAGAGGCAACAAAGGAACAGCUGCUACGCAUGCGUAACCGGCCCCGACACACCAGCGCGUCCAGCGAGACGGACCACAGUGCUAUUGUACGCAGCCUCAACUCGCUCGGGAGCCUUGACUUCACGGGAUACUCGACUUUGCAGUUCUUGUGCGACGCCGUUAUUCGAUAUGUGUCAGACCCACACGAGGAGGUGCGCCGGAGCGCGAUCGAUCUGUGCUUCAAGCUGGCCCUCUCCGGCUGCUCUCAGUCGCCGUGCGAGCGCACAGCCGUUGGUGUCGUGAUUCACCGCGGUCGGGAACACUUGGGCCUGGUGAACACCGUCAUCCGGAAACUGGUGAGCGCGGCUGUUGCGGACACCGAGAGCGAUAUCCGCCUGCACACGCUGGAGCACCUGAGCACGGAGUUUGACUACUCACUGGCUCUGCAGGACAUCUGCACGGCGCUGUUCCCCGCCCUGCACGACCACCACCAGAACCGCAUCGCAGCCGUUCGUCUCCUAGGCCGCCUUUCCAGUCGCAACCCCUCAUGCAUCCUUCCUAUGCUGCGUUGCGUGAUGGUGCAGUGCAUUAUGGACAUUCAGCUCUUCCACGAACCGAAGCGGCAGGAGCAGGCUGCGGUGGUGCUGAGUGCGGUGGUGGAGUCCGCGCCUGCGAUGGCACGCCCGUACAUCUCGUCUCUUUUGCAAGACUGCGUAACGCGGCUGCAGGAGGAGAACAAGCCUGUUCCGGUGAUCACGGCGCUCCUGUCGCUUGUCGGGAGGCUCGCGCGGUACGCGGAGGACGACGACGUGGCUGUGGUGGCCGCCAUUCGACCGUGCGUCAUUCGGCACAUCCUCGACUCGUCCAGCAUCCAGAAAAAGAUCGAGGCAAUUCGCGCCUUGGGCGAUAUCAUCCGCACCACAAAGGACGUCGACGUGUACGAGACAAAUCCCGAGCUGCUGCGCGUCCUUCUCUCCGCUCUCCACGGCGGCUUCAAAGAAACGUGGCCGGUGAGACUGGAUGUGUUGAAGCUGAUGGGAAUUAUUGGCGCCGUCGAUCCUGUUCGUGCCAAGGAGAUCACGCGUCACUUGCGGGAUGGAGGUCUGAGCAGCAGUGGCGCGGCCGCACCUGCUGCGUUGCAGCUUUCCUCCUCUCGCGGGGAAGAGGCGAUCGCGCAGAAUGUCGUCAAGAACGUGCUCGGCGUCCUGCAACUGCCAUGCUUAUCCGAUGACCAGUGCCUCUGUGCGGUGCAGGUGAUCGCAAACACGCUGUCGCUCAAGGAGGCGGCGAGCGGGUGUCUUACCCCGAUGUAUCGCGACAUUCUCCAUACUGUUGUUCAGCAAAUCACUCUUCAGGCUAAGAUACGCGAGAACCUGUUCGGGGUGAUGACGCAUAUCGUGUACCUUUACGGCCAGCACAUUCGCCCAUACCUGGACGAGCUCAUUAGCACGUGCGUCGGCUUCCUUCCUGCUGCAGAGCGCGGCGUCCUUGUGGAGAUACUGUGUCUUCUGAGGGAGAUGCGCCGCUCGCUCCGUGAAGAGUUCAGCCCUUCGCUCUCGCUGGUGCUGCCUCCGCUCAUCCAGACGGUUCAGGCGGACGCCGCGCACUCCAGCGAGCCUGUGUUCGCCUUCCUCAUAGAGAUGGGGCAUUUACUCGACGACCACCUCCACAACGUCGUGCCCUGCGUCUGCGAGGUGGCAAGUAAUCCUGCUUAUCCGGUGGCGUGCCGUGCGGCAGCUGCGGACGCCAUUCGCCACUUUGCUCGCCGACUGCCGCGCCUUGUGUUUCACGCGUCGCGCUGCGUGCACUGUCUAUGCCGGGUGCUGAAGGAGAUGGAGUCGCAUCCACUGCUGUUUGAGCAGCAACCAGGAGCAUCCGCGGACGCGGCUCAGCGCCGCCCUGCUGCCGAGCUAGCGGCUGGCGGAGACACGACGGCCUCAGACGUGCGCAGUUUCGUCGCCGUUACCCUGGACGCAGUGCGCGUCGUCAGCCGCAACCUCGGUAGCGACUUCGAGAAGUACACCCCCCUGGUGUUCCCACUGCUGGACGGCUACGGCCAGGACGGCCAGGAUGUGAAGGCAUUCACGCUCAGCACCCUGCGCACGAGCGGCCGCGUGGUGGCACCCGAGAACGCUCAGGCGCAAGAGGAGGAGACCGCUGCCCGGUAUCGCGUCAACACUCAGCAGCUGGCUCAGCGGCGCAAGGCCGCGCUGGAGGACAACUUUGCGCAGCUGCGCAGCAUCCUUCUCGCGCGCGACCGGGAGACCGAGGAAGAGUGGAACUUGUGGUUGAAGCAGCUGGCAGUGGAGCUGCUACGGUCGAGUCCGUCGAACGCGCAUGGCUUCGCCUUUGCCCUAGCUCAGCUGCACGAGCCCUUUGCGCGGCAAAUGCUGCACUCCGCCUUCGCUGUAUGCUACGCGGAAAUGGAGCCGCGCACGAAGGAGGCGGUUCGCGCUCUUCUCGGCAACGUGCUCCGCAGCGACCGCGUGCCGUCCGAGGUGCUGCAGGAGCUGCUGAACCUGUCCGAGUACAUGGAGCGACUGGAGAUGCGCUUUAACCCAAAGGAAGGCUCGCACAGCACGUAUGCCGGGCUGCUUUUCGACUUGAAGACGCUGAUGGGGAGCAGCGAGCGCUGCAACUUGUACGCCAAGGCGCUGCACUACGUCGAGAUUCAGUUCUACGAGGCGACCUACGAGUACGAGCGCAACGUGAUGCGCGGUCAGGUGCGCCCGCUGCCGCCUGAGGAGUGGAGCAAACUUGUACAGUGGUGCGAGAAGAGCAUUUACUUGUGCAACCUGCUGGGACUGCGCGAGAGCGCAGAGGGCAUGCUCAAGUACAUCCAGCGCAAUUUUUCUUUUCUGACCGGCAAGCCUCCGUCAGAGCUGCCGCUUAUGAUGGACGCGCAGCUCCUCGAGAAGCUGCAGUGGUGGUCUCAGAGUUUGCGGGCGUAUGAGAAGGGCCUGCAGGCGGAGCCGAACAAGUUCAGCAACAUGGUCGGCCUCAUGCGCUCCCUCGACAACCUUGGCGACUACGGUCGGCUGCUGGAGUCGUGGAAGCUCUUCUACCCCCGCAUCACGCGUAAGGAGGCCUCUGAGUUGGCCCCGUAUGGUGCCCACGCAGCGUGGCUGCUGCGGUGCUGGGACGACAUGGAGAAGAUCACAGCCUACAUGACAGAUGAAGGCUACGUUGGCACGACCGCUGUCUUUUACCGGGCUGUGCUCGCCACCCACAAGCUUCAGUUCCACGACGCCGUACCGGUGAUUCAAAACUGCCGCAAACGACUCGACUCGACGCUGUCGGCACUCGUGGCGGAAAGCUACGACCGCGCCUAUGGUCUGUUUGUUGGUAUCCAGCAACUCAGUGAGCUGGAGGAGUUCGCAUUUGUUGCCGACAACCCGCAGGGCCUCAACCACUGGCAGGAGCUCUGGGAGAAGCGGCUGGCUGCCAUGGCCUACGAAGGCUGGCCCGGCACGCUUGCGAACCACACACUUGUCAUCCCGCUGGCGCAGGAGCUGGAGAUGUGGCUGCGGUUCGUGUCGCUGUCACGCGUGCACGGUCGCGACCGCACAUCGCGCGACAUCCUGUUCGAGCUUCUGGGCAAGCAGACCAUUGCGGCCGCGCUGGAGCAGCCGCGGCUGCCGCAACCUCCAAUUGCCCUCGCCGCCUGCCAGCACUUCUACGACAUCAACGAGCGCGAAAGGGCGGUCGAGCUGCUUGAAACGUACCUGAAGAAGAUGGAUCAGGCAGCCCCCUCUCUGCUGGACAUCGGGGGCGGUCAAGCGAGCCUGGCCAUGUGUCAUGCAAAGCUGGCGAGCUGGCUUUUCACCGUGGCGAAGAAGAAGCGGCAGAACGUUGAUGCGCACUACCGUGAGUACAUCCGUCACCACCUUGAGAAAGCGACCAGCCUCGACAGCACUAACGGCACGAUUUGGCACACGUGGGCGCGGUUCAACCACGACCUUGUCACACACCGCUCCCGCGGUGCGGCGAGCGAGGUUCGCCGCGAUGAGCACGUUAAACACAUCGUGGCUGCCAUGGACGGCUAUGUGCGGAGCGUGUCCUGCUCGCAGGAGCUCGAAGACAUGCUAGGGUUUCUCUCCUUGUGGUUCAUUCAUGCCGCGCUGCCGCAGGUGCAAGAGAAUGCGGCGCUGCAGGCGGAGAUUCUUCAGGUGAGUCCGACGGUGUGGCUCAAGGUUCUUCCCCAAAUCAUCGCCCGCUUGCACUCGCGCGACGCCGUUGUGUCAGAGUCCGUCUUUCAGCUGCUCACCAUUGUCGCCAAGGCGCACCCGCAGGCGCUCCUGUACAACCUCAAUGUCACGCUGAACUCCAGCGUGCGGGGUACAGAGAGCAACACGACGGAGCAGAUGGAGCGCAAGCAGGCGGCACAGCGGUUGCUCGGUCGCAUAAAGGAGAUGCACAAUCAUGGCCGCACGAUGGUCAAGGACGCCGCCCUUGUCUGCCAGGAGCUCGUACGGUGCGCAGUGCUCUGGACGGAGCUGUGGUUUGAUGAGCUUGAGCGAGCGUGGUUUCAGUGGGGGCGCGACAAGAACGCUCACAACGUAUUUCUUGUCCUUCAGCCGCUGCUCGAGCAGCUGUCGCACCCUAACACCCUCGCCGAGUCGCACUUUGUGGCCGAGUUCGGUGAGCUACUUGGUGGGGCCUGUGAGUACGUGGAAAAGGCCGCGUCGACCGGCAACAAUGUCUACAUGGAGGAUGCGUGGAACCGCUUCAAGACGGCUGUGAAGCGGAUGGAUGAGCAGAUCAACGGCAUGAACUCACUUGCCCUGCAGCUCGUGAGUCCGCGUCUGAUGCAGAGCGGCAAGGACCUUUCGCUGGUGGUGCCGGGGCAGUACAACGAGGACGGCGUGUACCCGCGCAUCGCUUCCUUUCAAAGCACGUUGAGGGUGAUGAACUCAAAGCAGCACCCGCGCCGCCUUUAUAUGACCGGCACGGACGGCGUCUUGUACAAGUUUCUCCUCAAGGGUCACGAAGAUCUGCGGCUCGACGAGCGCGUCAUGCAGCUGCUAGCUUUCGUGAACACACUGCUGGAGAAGCACUCGGCUAUCCAGCGCCGUGACUGCAUGAUCCAGGUAUUCUCUGUCACCCCCCUCAGCGAGAAUGCGGGACUGGUUGGGUGGGUCGACAACUGCGACACACUGCAUCAACUCAUUAAGGAUUACCGUGUGCACUCCAAGUACCUCUCCAUUGAGAUGAACCUGAUGCUGAGCUUCAACGUCGACCUGGACCGGCUUCAGGUGAUUCAACAUGUCGAACCGUUCGAGUUUGCACUGGAGCAGACGGAGGGCGCCGACCUCGCCAACUCGCUGUGGAUGCGCGCGCCAAGCGCUGAGUCGUGGUUGGACCGGCGCACCACUUAUGUCUGUUCGCUUGCCACCAUGUCCAUGGUUGGCCACAUUUUGGGCCUGGGCGACCGCCAUCCGUCGAACCUGAUGAUCCACUCGUUCAGCGGUCGCGUCGUGCACAUCGACUUCGGCGACUGCUUCGACGUGGCGCAAAACCGUAGCGCGUUCCCAGAGAAGGUGCCAUUCCGACUGACUCGAAUGCUGGUCAAGGCCAUGGAGAUGGGUGGCAUCGACGGACUCUUCCGCCACGGCUGCAUCACGGUGAUGGGUGUGCUGCGCGAGGAGGGUAGCAGCAUUCUAGCUCUGCUGGAGGCUUUCGUACACGACCCGCUUGUGUCGUGGUGGCGCGACGAGUCGGAAGAUGGGGCGACCGUAUCUGCUGCCGUCGCCUCGGCAGCGCCGAGCAGCAGCAUUCCGUCUGCCGGCGCGGCUGCGGCACUCGGACACUAUUCGCAGCGCGCCGCCUACGCAGCCAUUGGUGAGUCCUUUCACAAGUCCCGCACCGCCUUUGCCUCUCGCACGCCAGCGUCGCGCUCGUUGGCGCCGCGUGGUCGCUCCUUUCGCGCACCACAGACCUCGAUCGCCUCCAGCCCUUCUGCUCCGCCUCCCCUCGUCUCCGAUCGGUCGUCAGACAUUUUAAGCAACAUGUCAGUCAAUCACACCAGCGAAGCAAAGAAAGUGGUCAAUCGCAUUCGCGAAAAACUCGAGGGCCGCGAGUUUGCCGCGUGGCAGCUCCAAGCCAGCGCCUCGGCGCACGCGGCAGAUGACGUGGGCGUGGCCAUGAAGGGGCAGUCGGAAGAGGACCCAAUGACUAGUGUCAGCUUGGGCAGCGCCGCGUCUGCAGCACCGAUGGCGAGCGGCGAAGACGGGCUUUCCGUUCAGGCGCAGGUGAGUCGGCUCAUCUCGGAGGCUACCUCCAACGAGAACCUGUGCGUCCACUUCCAAGGCUGGUGCCCGUUUUGGUGAGGCCUGCCAACGCGCGUGAGCGCGCUGAAUCACACCGCUGGAAGGGGAAGCGAGAAAGGCGGUAGCGGCGGGACGCAAGCGACGGAGGAAUGCCAGAAAAGUGGUGUGUGCGAGCGUAGGUACGUGCGUAUCGGUGAGCUCUCCUUGCACAUAUAUAAAUACACACAUAUAUGUGUGUAUGUAUGUAUGGCAAUCUUUCACGGCUCCGCGACGGCUUCGAAAAUAGAAAACACACUUCGGCAUGGGAAGACAGAAAGGAGACGGCUGCCUCAGCAUAGGCGGUGACCACCACGCGUAAUCUGGCAAAGUGUCUGCAUGAGCGUGCACAGGCACCCUUUCACCGCGUCCUUGGCUCAUCAGAGCGGCCCGAAGGGUUCACUGAAGCAGAGAGAAAGGGCAAAGGGCGACUGCCGCAGCAGGCGCUUGCUCGCCACCUACCGUCGGCUUUCUCUGGCUUACCUGCUGGGACGCGAAGUGGGCGAUGCCGAGGCGACCAGCAGCUGCAUGAAGUCACACCCCGGUAUGCUGAGGGUGCGUCAGCGGCCAUUUUGGAAAGAGAAAGACGGAGCAAAGAGCGUGAGGGCAACACGCGCCCUUUUUUGCCGUUUGUGCCUUGACCCCUCCCCCGUCUUCCGAAGCGCUGAUGGCGGCUGCAGUUGGGUGCAUUGAGCCAUCCUUACCUCUCUCUCCCUCCGCCUCCAUCUUUCCUCUUCGCGUUGCCUUCCGCGUCUCCGCCUCGGUACGCUCUUUAUGGAAUGCUCUUCCCUCUUCGUUUCUCAUCUUCCGCAUCCAACGGGGAUUGGCUGCAACCCUGUUUCCAUCGUCGUUGCUGGAACUCGUGCGGCACGCGCGCGCACUCACUUCACUCGCAUGGAG